AGAGGACAAAAAACAAUAGCAAACAACAAAGAGAAAAAAAAAACAAUGAAGAAACAGACAAAGAAUAGACAUAGAACGAGCAUGUAUUCGGCUAUAAAAGCCAUUUUCGAUACCUUUGUAUUUUUUACGAAUAUUAAGUAAUCGAAAAAGAAAGAAACAAGCAAAAGGUUGGUUUUAGUUUCCAUAUCUCGUUUUCCUUUUGUUCUCUUAUUUUCUUUUUUAUUUUCUAUCUUUUUGUCUUCAUUUGUAAAUCUGUUUUAAACAAAAAAAUGUAAAAAGAGGAGGAAACUUACCUGAACCCCACGGCUGUGGCAUCGGAGAGCUCUUCUUUGUCGCCAAAGUGGGGCCCAAAAGGGGCUGAGAGUCUCCUCCCUUCGGCGUUUUCGGGUUUUGGAGGUAGGGCCUUUAGAGGUGCUCCAAAAUGGGGCUAAACGAACCCAUCUUCUCGCAUCGUUGGUCACCGGGAAUGGUGGUGGUGCGGCAGUCAUGAUGGCGGCAAUGAUGAGUUUUCUAACCCUAGCAGAGAAGAAAUAAAGGAGGGGGUGUUUAAAAGUUUUUUUUAAAGAGCAGUAAAAAUGAAUUUAAAAAAAAAAUUGACUUAAGAAGCAAACGGCUCCGUUUUGGUGAUUGGGCUCAGAGGCCAAAACGACGUCUUUUUGGGCCUCUGACCCGCCCGACCCGAUCCUCCCUAGGGGGAUCCGCUCGUUUUCAGUAAAUGGGCUAUUUACGCCCGCAGUCCUUCGGCAUAUUUGAUUCUUUUAAUUUAAUCCUUUUUUAUUUUCCUUUUAUUUUUAAAUUUGACCGCGUAAUGUUUUCUUUGUUUCAAUUUGGUCCUCAGACCAUUUGAAGAGGCUGACGGGUGAAACGCAGCGUAUAAGGGCUGGGAAUAUUUUCCCAAUCGAUCCCUCAGUUUUCAAGCGCGUUUCAAAUCCAUCCUCUGCCCUUUUUUAUCCGAAUUUUCCCUUUUAAUUUUAUUUAAAUUUUGAUUUAGUCCUUUCUAUAUACUUGCAUUUAUUUUAUUCAAAUUUGGACCCUAAAGUUUCAUUUUAUUUACAAUCUAACCCUUUUUCAUGUAAAUUUGGACUCUUUGAUUCUUUUUUUUUCAUUUAUUUUAAACUAUUUUAUUUAUUUUAAAUUUUAUAUGAUAAACUGUUUUAAAUUGUUUUGGAUGUAUUAUUCUAAAUUAUUUCAAAUAUUAUAUACUUUGAAUCGCUUUAUAUAUAUUCCUAAACUUGUUUUUAUGUAUAACUGUUUUAUUACUUGUUUUAAAUUGUUAUCUUAUGUUAAACUCUUUUUAUUUAUUUAAAAUGGUUUUAUUAUUAUUUUUUAGGUUUUUAUAUAUAUUAUUUAUUUUACACUUUUGUGUAUGUAUAUAUAUAUAUUAUCUAUUUUAAAAUUAUUCAUAUGAAUUUUUUUUAAUUUGCUUUGUGUAAUAUAGAUUUUAAAAUUCUUUUACAUUAUUUAUUUUAAACUCGCUUUAUGCAUUAUUCAUUUUAAAUUAUUUUAUUAUUUAUUUUAAAAUUUUAUAUAUAUUAUCAAUUUCCAAUUGUUAUUUCUAUUUUUUAUAUAUAUAUACUAGUUAUUUCUUAGAUGUCUUGUAUAUUACUUAUUUCAAGUUUCUUUUUACAUAAUAUUUAUUUUAAACUCAUUUAUAUAUUAUUUAUCUUAAUUUUUUUUAUAUAUUGUUCAUUUUAAACUCUUUCCCGUAUAUUAUUUAUUUCAAACUUUCGCCUAUAUUACCUAUUUUAAAAUUUCUUAUACAUAUAUUCUAUUUUUAAAUUGUUUUGUACAUUAUUGAUAUUAAAUUUCUUUUUUUCACAUUAUUUAUUUUAAAUUCAUUUCUUAUCAUUUUAAAAUUUGUUUUACGUUUUAUUCAUUUUAACUUGCUUUGUAAUUUUUUUUAAAUUGUUAUAUAUUAUUUAAUUCGUUUGUCUUUGAUUAUUAAUGAUUAGUAUUUAAAUAAUGUAUGUUGUGUGAUUAUUGCCAUUGUGUGUAUUUUAAUUUGUUUAUUUCAUAUUUUUGCAUUAUUGUUAUUCAUUCGUAUAAUGUUGUGUUCAUGUAUCCUUGCUCUAGGCUCAUUACUAUAUUUCUAUUUCAUAUCAUCGCCUCAUGAUUCAAGUCUCGUUGCACUUAUAUGAUAAAUCGUUUUAUUUUAAUCGAAACAAACAAUACACGUCGUUUAAAUAUCGUACUCGCUAUGGUUCAAAAACAAAAUUUUCUAAAUAAGGCAAUGUUUUGCGUUUUGGAACAUCGAGGAAUUGUGCCCUAACUUACGGGGUUUUGAUUUUCUCGUUGAUUCUAAAUAGCCAAAUAUCCUUUCGAGUUUUAAAACACACGAAAUUCUAAUUAAAAUUAAAGACAAACUUGCGCUCGGGAGUUCAUGAGAUCGUGUCCUAACUUACGGGAUGUGAUACUCCGAUAUCUCGAGACGAGGAAAUCUUUAGCAAUCGUUUUGAUCUAAUUCAAGUGUUUUUUUUAAAUCGACAUUAAUAAAAAAAUGAUCAUAUUUUAAAUCCGUUCUCGAUUUUCAACUUUCGACAUUAAGACACUAACUAAUCAAUUCGGUACCAAUUUUGGGCGUGACGAGGGUGCUAAUCCUUCCUCGCACGUAACCGACUCCCGAACCUGUUCUCUCGAGUUUCGUAGACCAAAUACCGUUUUAGUAAGCUAAAAUGUUUUAUUAAAACAAAGGUGAUCCGAUCACACCUAAUAAAGAUCGGUGACGACUCUCGUUUUAAUCUUCGCUUUCAAACAAAGUCUAUUCCCGUUUUCAAAAAAUGGUUUCGACAGUUUAGCAACUCCACUGGGGACUUUGAGAGUAGAGCCAUAAAUUAAUUAAUUUUUGUUUUUUGUCAAAAAUUGAAAAUCUAUUUUAAAAUUACGAUUACUUCAUUGCAUGUUAUCUGUUACUUUCGUGGUUUCUUCAUAAUAUGCUUGCUUUAGUGGUUUAAUUCUUUUGAUGUAUCUUUGCAUAUCGCAUCGCAUAAAUUGAUCAAUUUUACCCUUUUAAGUGAGAGUAAGAAACUAUUCCUUCGUGAGGUCUUGACCUCUGUAAGAAGCUAUUCCUUCGUGAGGUCUUCACCUCUGUAUAGGAUAGUGGAUCGCUUUCGGGAUACAUUUGUACCUACGUCUUCGUAAGAUUUUCAUCUCUGUAUAGCCGUAGGGAAAUGUAUUCCCCUGAACUGAACCCGGUCCGUAUGAGCCUCUAAUGGGUGAAGAUCGAGGAAUCUGCUGGUUCAGGUACCUUUACUUUAGAACCGAACCGCAUAUAAUGAGCCCUAAGAGCCUACCCUAGGUAGAACCACACCAAACCCUAGUAGUUACCCGAAUAAGUGCUUGAUUAUUUCCUUUUUGCUUUGAGUUUUAUUCUUUGUUUUUAAUACUGACUUGUUGUGUAUUGCUGUUAUUGUAUGGCAUAUCAUCAUAAAAAGGUGUUGAUUCACGUUCGGUUACUAGAUAGAAAAGCUUAGCAUGGAAAAUGGGUUUCUUGAUAGAGUGGAGGAUAAUGCGGCUGUCCGAAUAUGGUCCGAGAGCACGCAACAAGAGAAAGGAGAUAGUUUGACUGAGGGAUAUAAAUCAGAGUUAUGGGAUUUCACUCGCAUCAGUGUGACUCAGAAUGACCUGCAAGAGCUAAAAGAGAUAUGGGAUAGUUGGAACGACGAGAUCAAGUAACUCUUUUACUGUAAUUACGAUGACCUACCCUAUCUGCUCGAUGUAAAGGUGGGCAAAUACUUGUUUUGAGCCCUCGCUCAGUUUUAGAAUCCCGCCUACAGUUGCUUCACCUUCGGAGCAGUCGAUUUGGUACCUACCAUAGAGGAAUACAUGGCUUUACUUAAUUGCCCGAAGAUUCAAGCCAACAGGGCCUAUUCAAGACCUGUUAACGUCCCACAUUUUUUGAAGAAAUUAAUGAAUAUCAUGGGGAUGAGUGAACAAUGGGUUGCAGCCUGUAUCAAACAUAAAGGGGAUAGUAAGUGUAUUCCUUGGAGGAAUUUGAGGGGCUUGAUCCUUGCACACCCGGAUAUGAAGAAGAGGGUUGGCGUUUUCGCCUUGAGCUUCUACGGUUUGAUCGUCUUUCUCAAGACAUUAGAACAUGUAGAGGAAGCCGUCUCAGAUUUAUUCGAUCGACUUGAUAAAAGGGACCACACCCGUCCCGGUAAUCAUUGCAAAAACUUUCAGAUCUUUGAACACAUGUCGGACGACGGGUGAAGAAAGAUUCGUAGGAUGUGCGUAGUUAUUGUUAGCUUGGUUCCACAGCCUCUUUUGAAAGGCAGAAAAUGUCUCCUAUCGAGUUUUCUCUAAGGACUAUUCCCCAUUAAGAGAAUUAGUGGCUACAUCGAGGCGAGAGGACAUCUCAGAAGAAAAAUAGAUAGCUAUUCUCCAGUGUUUGCAAGGCGAAGAUGUUGAAUGGAGGGUUCCAUGGUUGAUCCCCAAUGAGAUAUUAUAUCAGUGCGGUGAUUUUGACUGGGUCCCUCUAGCUGGAAUAUAGGGAGCUGUUAGAUACGCUCCACUACUUGUGUUAAGGUAGUAUCGAUCAAGGCAGUUUAUACCGGUGACACAAGGGUUGGCCCAAUGUGAGUUCUCUUAUAAAGACAACAAUUAUAAGAAGAAGGUUCGUGAGAUAUCAGAUGCUUGGAACCAAACCCGAAGAAUGAAAGGAUUCACCACAGGCCCAAUGACGACCCUCGAGUAUGAAUGGUGGUGGGGUAAGAGAGUUAAUGAUAACAUCUCUAGGCCGAAUCAAGGGAGCACUCGAUCGAUAGAAGAGCAUUUAUGAAUCAUCCCAUCUGAGUUAGAGAUCAUCAAGUAAGACUUUGAGAAAAAGAAACUCGGAAUUGGGAAAGAAGAUAAAGCAGCUAGAAGAUAAGAAGAUGAAAUUAGAAUUAGACGUCGAUAUCCACAAGCUAAAGGCCGAGAAAUUAAGGAAAGGAAAAAACAAAGUCGAGGAAGAUUUGAAUAGUCUAAAAACUGAUUACAAGAAGCUGCGUAUAUUGAUAAGAACUGCCGGUUUAGGUAAAACGUCGGAACAGUGACGUCAAGAAAUUAAAGAAGAAAAAAUUAGAGCCGAUUAUUGGGAGAGAAAGUUUCAAGAUGUCCGAGUACGGGAGGGCGCUCUGAAAAGGAGUCUGUUAGAAAGCCAAAACGGAAGAGAAAGGUUAUGAGCUCGGGUGGUCGAAUUAAAAAAAUCACUACAUCAACAUCAUGGCCGUAACUCCGUAAUUGAGUUGAAGGCCAGUUUAAGCAGGAUCGAGGAGUUAAAAGGAAAAGUAGAGGAAUUUGAGACUGCACUACGAGAUAGUAAGAUUCAAGUAGAACUUCUCGAGGCAAACAACGACCAUUGCAGGGAACAGCUUCACCGCUCUCAAGACCAGAUUAGAGAUAGAGACUAUGUCAUGGGUAAAGCUGUGGCUCAGGUUCGGGAGGUAGUCGAUCAUUUGCAAAUAUUGGCAGUUCAGGCUAAUGUAUUAAGCUUAAAGUACGAGUUGAAAUUAGAUCAAAGCCGAAGCUUAGCUUGGCUUCUUAGGAAGGUUAAGGCUUUGGGCAUUAGGGCAAAGUCGUAUAUGUAAUUAUCCGCUCUAUGUAAAGAAAAAUUUCUUCUAGUAAAGUUUUUGUAAUGAAAUUGAAUCGGAAUCAACGCCUCUUUUUGCAUUCAUUUCAUUUAUUUGCAUUACAUUUCAUCACAUGCAUUAAAUUUCGCGAAAAAACUCUAAUUAAAACAAAAUUAUUUCAGUUAAUUUGGAAACCAACAAGAAUCAACCAACCGAAUACCGCUACAAUACCCAUCGUAAAACCAAAGUAAUGGAUCAGAUAUUAGAAAGAUUAGAACAAAUGUAAAGGGAUAUGCAAGAGCAAUUACAAGCGCAAUUACAAACGCAGAUGCAGGAGCAGUUAGCUAGAAUCCAACGUGACAUGAGGGAACAAAUGCAAAAAUCCCAGAAUAAUAUGAUAAGUCAGUUGGCACAGUUACUGGCUAAGGAACGUGAAAAAGAGAAGAGCACUGCGAUCAAUUCAGGGAAUAAUAAUGAAGAACCUGUCUAUCCCCCGGGUUUUACUCCUGUCAAUGACCAGACACAUCCAGAGGUGUACCCACGAGUGGUACCCAUCACUAUUAGGCCCUAGCAAUACCUGGCUGGUGCCUUGGCACCGAUGAACUUUCCUACAGGCUCGGGCUCUAAUCCCGGGGAUAAUCCAACUAUCCAGUUGUCCCAGACCUUAAUGACGUGGCAGAAAUGGAGAAAGGAAAAGUAGACUUGACAAAACAACUCGAUGACCGGUGUAAAUGGCUUAAAGAGAAAUUGAAAGCAAUGGAGACUGCUGAUUACCGUUACGGGAUCAGCGCUAAGGACUUAAGCUUGGUCCCAAAUCUGGUGCUUCCAACAAAAUUUAAAACCCCGGAGUUUAAAAAGUACAACGGGACUAGCUGCCCUGAAGCUCACAUAACGAUAUUCUGUCGAAAGAUGACAGGAUAUGUUAACAAUGAUCAACUAUUAAUUCACUGUUUCCAAGACAGUCUAAUAGGGUCUGUGGCCAAGUGGUAUAACCAGCUAAGUCGUGCCCAAAUUAGUUCGUGGAAAGACUUGGCUCAAGCUUUCAUGAGACAAUACGGUCACGUGACGGACAUAGCACCCGACAGAAUUACAUUACAAAACAUGAAAAAGAAGCCAAGUGAGAGCUUCAGGCAGUAUGCCCAACGGUGGAGGGAGAUAGCGAUGCAAGUCCAACCACCUCUCCUGAAGAAGGAAACGACCAUGCUCUUUAUCAAUACCCUAAAAUCCCCAUUCAUUAACCACAUAUUGGGAAGCGCUACUAAGAGCUUCUCGGACAUAGUAAUUUCUGGAGAGAUGAUAGAAAACGUGAUAAGAUGCGGGAAGAUUGAAGAGGGGGAAAGUGCCAAAAGAUCAGCCCCGAAAAGGAAAGAAAAUGAGGUGAACAAUGCGAGCGUAUACAAUAAGGGUUAUUCGAAGCCAGUUACAGUGAGCCAGCUGAGGGCAGUGACUACUAGCCAUCAGGGCUCCGCAAGACAAUAUUCCAACCCAAGGCCUAACAUGGAAAAAGUCCAGUUCACGUCGAUCCCGAUGACGUAUAGGGAGCUUUACCAAAAUCUGUUUGAUGCGCAUGUGGUGUCCCCAUUUUGCCUAAAACCCAAGCAACCUCCAUUUACCAAAAUCUGUUUGAUGCGCAUGUGGUGUCCCAAUUUUACCUAAAACCCAAGCAACCUCCAUUCCCUAAGUGGUAUGAUGCAAACACUAAUUGAGAAUACCAUGCAAGAAUCCCGAGAUACACAAUUGAGAACUGCAUGGCCUUCAAAAAGAUAGUCGAAAGGUUCAUAAAGAUGGGCAUUAUAAAGUUCGAUGAUCCCACAGGACCUAAUGUGGCAGGCAAUCCAUUACCUAGUCAUUCAGACAAAGAGGUAAAUGCAAUAGUUGAAAAUGGAUAGAGGAGAACCAAGAUGGAUGUAUCAGAGGUAAAGACUUCGUUGAUAUGGGUUUGGAAGAAAAUGGUAGAAGAAGGUUUUGUUACACAAGAUUUAAGGGAGAAGCUCGAAUGAGCAAAGUACUACUAUGAAUUCCACGAAGAGAUCCAAAAGUGCAAUGAAUUCAGGGUUCUAGUACAGGGACUGAUGGAAAAUAAAGAGAUUGAAUUCUUUGAGUAUACUGAAGGCCUGAAAGGAAAAGAUGUGUGCGCUUCAAAAGGAGGGUCAACCAAUAAGGUCGAUGGGGUCAAUCACCCUGUGGUAAUCAUAUCACGACCAAGAAUUAGUGAAGUCAGAGCAUCUAUUGUACCAAAGGUCAUAAUCCAGAAGCUCGUUACUUUCCCUUAUAAAGAUAAAAAGAUGGUGCCUUGGAACUAUGACUGUAACAUGACGAUUCCGGAAGAGGAGAACCCGGCUAACACUUCAGAGAAAGGUCAAGAUGAAGGUUUCUAUACAUACAGUGGAAGACGUUAUACCCCGAACACAAAGGCAGAAUCAGUUAAAGGAAAAUUCAUGGUUGUUGAACAAAAAAUGGAGAAGACAACCAGACUAGAAUCACCUGUCAAUGAGCCUGUGACUGAAAAAGAGGCUAAAGAAUUCUUAAAAUUCCUGAAGCACAGCGAGUACAGCGUUAUGGAGUAAUUGCACAAACAACCAGCUCGCAUAUCGGUACUAGCCUUGCUUUUGAGCUUAGAGACUCAUCGCAGUGCAUUAAUGAAAGUGUUAAAUGAAACAUAUGUUGCGGAUGAUAUCUCUGUCAACAAGCUCGAUCGUCUAGUCAAUAACAUCAGUGCUGAUAAUUUUUUUUCUUUAACGAUGACGAAAUACCACUUGGAGGUAUGGGAUCCACAAAAGCCCUACACAUCACCACUCAUUGCAAGAGAUACACGUUACUAGGGGUACUGAUUAAUAAUGGAUCAGCGUUGAAUGUCCUGCCCUUGUCCACGCUAAAUAGGUUACCAAUAUAUAGCUCUCACAUGAAGACAUGUCAAAACAUAGUAAGAGCAUUUGACAGUACUGAAAGAAAAGUGAUGGGAAGAAUCGAGAUACCUCUUUUAAUUGGCCCAAAUACAUAUGAUGUGGACUUCUUAGUAAUAGACAUCAAGCCAUCGUACAACUUCCUGUUGGAAAGGCCGUGGAUCCACUCAGUGGGAGCAGUACCGUCGUCACUACACCAAAAAUUAAAGUUGGUGACUGAGGGUAGAUUGGUAACUAUAAACGCAGAGGAAGACAUCAUUGCAUCCGUUACCAAUGACGCACCGUACAUAGGUGCGGAUGAUGAGGCGAUAGAAUGUUCCUUUCGAUCGCUAGAAUUUGUCAAUGCCACAUUCAUUGUUGAAGGGAACAAGAUCCUAAUACCCAAAAUAUCCAAAACUACAAAGAUGGGCCUGCAAUUGAUAGUCAGAAAAGGAGCCUUGCCAGGAAGAGGACUUGGAAUGUGCCUCCAAUAUCAUUAUUUCAAUAAAAAAUGCAUUUUUGCGUAUCAUUUUGAGCAAAUAUUCUUUUAUUCUUUCUACUUCAUUCAUAAUCAUAUGUCCAAAUAUCGUUAUUUCAAUAAAAAAUGCAUUUUUGCGUAUCAUUUUGAGCAAAUAUUCUUUUAUUCUUUCUACUUCAUUCAUAAUCAUACCAUACAAAUAAAAUAUUCUUAGAUUCUUUUGUUCUUUGGAUCUCUUUCUUCAUCCCUAUAACAGGUCUCCAAAUAUCAAUGAUAUAAGCAAUGUUGCUACUGGCUCAGAGUCUCCUUUUGAGCAAGAUUUGUGUGUGGAGGACACUCAGGAUUUUAAAGAUGACUGAAAUUGUGACCUAUCUCCUGAUUUGUUAAGGAUGUUAGAACAAGAGGAGAAACAAAUCCUACAUUACAGAGAGUCAGUGGAAAUUGUGAACUUAGGAUAGGGAAAAGAGGUGAAGAUUGGAGCUUGUAUUACUGCAGAAACAAAGCGAGAUCUCAUUGAGCUACUACAAGAAUUCAAGGAUGUCUUCGCAUGGUCAUAUCAAGACAUGCCCGGGUUGAGUACUGAUAUCGUGGUACAGCUACUCCCUAUAAAGGAGGAGUGCAAGCCAGUUCAACAGAAACUCUGGAGGAUGAGACCUGAUGUUUUGUUGAAGAUAAAAGAUGAGAUGGAGAAGUAAUUCGACGCUAGUUUCUUACAAGUGGUUGAGUACUCAGAAUGGGUGGCCAAUAUAGUCCCUAUUCCCAAGAAAGAUGGGAAAGUACGAAUGUGUGUGGACUAUCGAGAUUUGAACAAAGCCAGCCCAAAAGACAAUUUUCCGCUGCCUCACAUUGUACAUUAGUGGAUAACACGGUAGGUUAUUCACUUUUGUCCUUCAUGGAUGGCUUCUCGGGAUACAAUUAGAUAAAGAUGCAUCCCGAAAACAUGGAAAUGACCACAUUCGUGACUAUGCAGGGAAUGUUUUGUUAUAAAGUGAUGCCAUUUGGACUAAAAACAUAGGAGCGACAUGUUAGAGAGCCAUGGUAACUUUGUUCCAUGAAAUGAUGCACAUGGAGAUCGAAGUUUACGUCGACGAUAUGAUUGCAAAAUCCAAAACAGAGAAGGAGCAUGUGCAAGUCCUGAGAAAACUUGUAAUAACCCGAAAUUCACAGGUACCGGAAAAGUGAGUUAUAGGGCCUCCGUCUUUGUGAAAUAAGUUCGAAAAUAAUUAUUAAAAAUAUUUAUGAGCCUAGUGGUGUGUCUAAUUAGGAUCUAAUUAGGUGAAUUUAGCUUAAUUUAGAGUAAGUAAUAAAAAGGAUUAAAUUGAAUAAAGGGUAAAAGUUUAAUUAUAAAGCAAUAGAAAAUAAAAAUGAUUAAAAUGACAAUUAAGCCAUUUACUACAAAUGAGGCGGCAUAUUGGUGAAAUAAAAUCAAAGAUUUUUUUAGGUUUUAUAUAUUAUAAUGAUUAUUAUUAUGGUUUUAUAUUAAAUUAUUAUAAUUAUUAAUUAACAUUAUGGUUUUAUAUUAGAUUAUUAUUAUUAGCAUUAUUAUUAAAUAAAUUAAAUAGAAGACAAUUGUAUGGUAAUAAAAUAUACAUGUGUAAGAAUUGUAUUGGUACAAUUGUAAUUUAAAUAUUUAAUUAAUUAUAAUUUAAGUAUAAAUAUAUUUUAUAAUUAUUAAUUGUAUUAAUUAAAUCUUGAGAUUUUUAUUUGAUAAGCAAAUUAGAUAAUGAUAUUUGUAAUAAUAUAAAUAUAUACACUUGUUAUAUAAUUAUUAAUUUACUUAAUAUUAAAGUAAAAGAUAUUUUAAUAUAUGAUAUUAAUAUUAUAUUAUGUUAAUAAAAUAAUAAAGCAUAAAAAGAAUUAAGGAAACAAAGAAACAAAACAAAAGAAACAGAAACGAAGCAGGGAACAAAACGAAAACAGGGAAAGAAAAUAAAAAGGGAAAUUGGGAUUUUAAAGCUUCAAGUUUAAUUGGUAAGCUUAAUUAAGUCCUUUUCUCUUAAUUUUGAUAUUUUAGAAGCUUUAAAACAAGUUUUGAUGAAAUUAAGUUGAUAAUUCAAGAAUUUAUAUGUUUCCAAAUAUGGUUCAUGUUGGAUAAAUUAUGGAAUUAGGGAUUUAAUUGAAUGAAUUCUAAGUUAGAAUUGAUUAAGGGAUUAAAUUGUAAACUAGGUGUAACGCCCCCACGCCCGAGACCGUCGCCGGAGUCGAGCUUGAGGUGUUACCGAACAUAAUUUAUCGAAUUAAGAACUUCGAAUCAUUUAUUUCUACAUUCAUAGCUUUCUAGCUACCUGUAUCACAGUUACAUGAAAAAUCAUAUCUCGAGUUACAAAACUCGAAAUCAAGAUCUGUAAAUUUUCAUUAAAUCUAGACUCAUAUAUCUAUUUACUAAAUUUUUUCUAGAAUUUUUGAUUGGUCCAAUUAAUACAGUUUAUUAUUAAAGUUACCCCUGUUUCAGGACUUGACUGGACUGACCUCUGUUUACUACGAACCAUAUUUCUCUUUGUGAAAAGUUUAUAUGACUAUGCUGUUUAUUUAUUCCGAAACUAGACUCAAUAAGGAUUCCAAGAAUAUAAAAUAAACCACCUAAUUAUUUUUGUACAAUUUAUGGUAAAUUUCAAAAUUUGGAAUAGGGGAUCCAGAAAUCGCUCUGGCCCUGUUUCACUAAAAUUCAAAUAUCUUAUAACAUAUAAUUCCUUUACUUGUUUCAUUUGUUUUAUAUGAAACUAGACAUACUAGGCUUCAAUGUCAUAUUUAAUCCAUCACCAAAUUCAAUUUCUAUGUUUUUUUAGUAAAUUUUCAAACUCAUGUCAGUGUUGCUGCAAUAUUCUGUUUAUGGCAAAUUUCAUCUUUUCAUGAGUUUUUAUGAUCUAGAUAACAUAUUAAACUUCCAUGACAUCAAACAUGAUCUAACUUAGCGUUUUCCAUUACUUAUCAUUAUUAAGCAUUUUCUCAACCAAAUCAUGGCCAUAUCACAAAAUUAUUUACACAAAAUAGGUGUAUUGCUAUACAUGCCAUACUUAAGUUUUACAAGCCAUUUACCAAAAAGAGUCUUUCGGAUAGUGUGAUCGAACCGUCGACCUGUCCCGAUUCCUAAGCCGGCUUGUUCAAAACUACAGUGAAUGAAAAGGAGGGAGUAAGCAUAAAUGCUUAGUAAGUCAUAUACAAAUAACAAGUAACAUAACAAUACAAUUAUACCAAACAACCUUAGCAUGGUAUCACCAAAACAUAUAUCACAUUUCUAAACAUCAUUAAUCAUCUUACCACCUUAUCGUUGUUGUAUCUAUUUUCAACCCAAAGGUUAAGUACAUACCUGUCCAAAGUGUCCAUUUCACAGUACUUACCAAUACGUCACCUGCAUCUUAAGUGUUCUUCCAUUUCACUAGAAAUUUUACCCGUUGGACACAUCGAAAUAUAACUAGGAUACAUGAGUAAUUUGCACAUAAGUGCCACAUUUGUAGCCAAGCUACCAUGUAACCAGCCCAUAAGUGAACUCGGACUCAACUCAACGAGCUCGGGCGUUCGCAUCCAUAAGUGAACUCAGACUCAACUCAACGAGUUCGGAUGCCUAGUUACAUCUCACGAACUGGGACUCAACUUAACGAGUUCGGACAUUUCACAUCCAUAAGGGAACUCGGACUCAACUCAAUGAGUUCGGAUGUUCAACCAUCCUAGUGACAUGUCACUUGUAUCCUAAUCUAUUCCUAAGGUUCAAAUGGGAUUUUCCUCAAACACAUCUCCUUGCCAUCUUCCGUAAAAUACCGAAACCAAUACUCGGUAGCACUUUAUAUUUAACAAAUAAUACACUUAAUUUGCAUUUUAUUCGAAAAUAACCACAAAUCAUAUAUUUCAUGAUAAAAAUCAGCAUAUCAUAUAUUUAACAUCAAUAACUUAAAAAUAACAAUUAUGCUACCUUAUUUACACAUGAACUUACCUCGGUACAAAAAUUUUAACAAUCGAGCCUAUUCCUCGUAAACUUUGUUUUUCCCUCGAUCACGACUUGAAUCUCGUUUCUCUUGAUCUAUAAUACCAAAUUAAUCUUAUUUAAUACAUACAUUCAUUAAAACAGUACUUAAUACGAACUUUGGAAAAAUUACCAUUUUACCCCUAAACUUUUGCAUAAUUACACUUUUGCCCCUAGGCUCGAGAAUUAAACUUCAUCCCUUAUUAUUUUGUUUUAUGACAUUCUGAUCAUUUUCCCUUCUAUGACAACAUCAAAUUUUCACUCUAACAUGUAUUUAUGACUACUAAAUAUUUUUACCGAUUAAGCCUUUUUACUCGUUUUUACUCAAAACCGAGUAGCACAAGUUGUCUAACAAAAUUUAAAACCUCAUAUUCUGUCAUAAAACACCAAAAUGCACAAAUUUCACCUAUGGGUAUUUUUCCAAAUAUGAACCAUAGGUUGAAUUAUUGUUAACAUAAGCUAAAUCGAGCUACCGGGAUUUCAAAAACAUAAAAAUCAUUAAAAACGAGGCUUGAAAUCACUUACUAUGAAGUUUGAAAGUUGAAGAAACCCCAGCUAUGGAGGAGAGCAAAAAUCGGCAGAACAAUAUGGAGAAGAUGAUCAUUUUGGGUUAUUUUUCCUAUUUUUAUUUCAUUUAAUAUCCAAAUGACCAAAAUGCCCUUACUAUUAAACUUUCCAAAAAUUCCUUCCAUGUCCUAAUUUUGUCCAUGAACUUAAAAUUGGUCAAAUUACCAUUUAAGACCUCUUAAUUAAUAUUUCAAAGCAAUUUCAUACUAAAAACUUCUAGAAUGCAAGUUUUGCAACUUAUUCGAUUUAGUCCCUAACUUUAAAUUAAACUCGUUAAGCCAAAAAUUUCUUCACAAAAUUUUCACACAAGUAUGCAAUCAUAUUAUAAACCUCAAAAUAAUUAUAAAAUAAUUAUUUCUAUCUCGGAUUUGUGGUCACGAAACCACUAUUCCGAUUAGGCCUUAAUUCGGGAUAUUACACUAGGCUAUAAGUUUUAUGUUGAAGGGACUAAAUUGAAGAAAUUUCAAAAUUAGGGAAAUAUUCUGGAAAUUUUAUAGUUAAAUAUAAGUUUAGACAAAAUUUGAAUAGAAAAAGAGAGUGAAUUGGAUUAAGAAAAUAAUUAAGUUUAGUUAGGAUUAAAUUGGGAAUAAGGUAGGAAUUGUUUAGAAAUUUAAUUAUUUAUUAUAAUUAAUGCAGUAAAUAAUAAUAUAAAUUACUAUUAUUUUCGUAACCAACAAAGAACCUGAAACGUCAGCAUCGAAAGGAAAUGAGAAAGUCAUCGAGGACUAAAACGGGAGAAUUACGGUGUGUAUUAAUAUAACUCAAAUUUUAAUUAUUAUUGAUUGCUGAAAUUUUAAUUGUUAUGCUUGGUAAGUAAGACUUGAGGUAAGUAUGUGAUUAUUUGAAAAAUGUAUUGAUUGAAAAAUAAAUAAAUGGUGACAAUUGUAUGGUGUUGAUGGUAUACACUUGUGUGAAAAUUAAUUUGUAUAUGAAUUAAGAUAAUAGAUAUUUGAAUUGAAUGAGUAUUGAAAAUUUUUGUGUAAAUUAAAUUGAAAUUAGAAAAAGUAAAAUAAUACCCUAUUAACUUGUCGGACUAGAUUUGAUACAAAUGGCAUGCCAUUAGAUUUGUGAUAUGAUGAGGAGAUUGUAGUUCGGCCAAGAAGAUGUUUCUGUUAUUAUAUACUUCGAUUUAUCCGAAGAGGCACUUAAUGCCUUAUUGGUGUGUUAUGGAGGAUUUAAAAUAUUCUGGGUGUGUUUGGGUUGGACAUUCUGGUGUGUUUGGGUGGAAAUCCCCGUAUCUGUCAUAGUCCGAGCUUUGUUAAUAGGGUAAAUAAUUGAAAUGAAAUUUUGAAAAUGAGAUUAUUUGUUUUAGCACUAUUGAAAAGUACGAGAAAGAAUGUAUGAGUUAAAUUAUGAAUUGAGUUAGUGUGAGAAAAAUGAAUUAUGAAUUUAAGAUUUAUGAAGUAAAAUAAUUAUAUAUAAAAGUAGUUUAAAUAAUUAUAAAAUUUAUGGAUGGUGUUUGUAAUUUAUUAAUGUUAAAUAGUCUUGUUUUAUAGUAAUACCACUGAGUAUAUCCAUACUCAGCGUACGGUUGUUUCCGUGCGCAGGUUAGUAGAAGUCAAGUGUCCCGGCUCAGCAUCCAGAACAAUCCCGAUUCCAACACAAACUUGGUGAUGGAUAUUUUUCUUUUGGGGAAAGGUGGCAUGUACAUAGGUGUUGUUUAGUCACUUGAAUAUGUAUAUUACUUUGAGUAGUGAAGGAUGAAUUAUAAGAGUUAGAUGGUUAAAUGAAAUGGUAAGGAAAGUACAUGAUAUUUUGAUACAUGAACAUUAAGUUGUUAAAUGAAUGAAGUUUAUAAUCAAUUUUGAAUGAUGCUAUGAUAGUUAUUAAGUUAAAAUUAUGUUAAUGAUAUAAAUAUUAGUUAUAUGAAUGUGAAACAUUGGUGUUGGUGAUUUUGGUUUGAAUUUGCAGGAGGUUUCGGUAAAAAUAAGCAGAAAUGCUGUCGAAAUUUUUUUACAAAAAAAAAUUUGGAAUACUCGAACAAGUCCCGUUCUACUUUUAAUACGUGUUUGAACUUUGAGAGUCCAAGAUAGGGACUUAAUUAUUAUAUUAUACUAUGAAAGUUAUAUUAAUUGUAAAUUAUUCGUAAGUUGUCUGAUAUGUCCGGUAAUGCCUCAUAACCUCAUUUCAGCGACGGUUUGGGGUUAGGGGGUGUUACAGUUGUUGGUAUUAGAGCUAUCAAGUUUAGCCGAUUCUCGAGCUAAAUUGGGCUCGAAAGUGAGUUUAGAUGUACAUGCCACUGUCGAGUCGAAAUUGAGUCGGGAUUUUUGGAUGCUAAUGUAUUUAUUUGAUUUUGUUUUAUAGAUAAAAUGUCAGAUGAAAGAAUGGAUAAUGUUGAACAGGAAAUGUAUACUGGAAGUCGAGAAUUAGAAGAAACUGAAUCUGUUACACCUGGUGUGAAUCUGUUAAAUAAUCAAUCUUCUAACAUAGGGAGAGAAAGAAAUACCUCACAAGUGUUAAGAGAUAUAGCUGAUGCGUUACAGCAUAUAGUGAGAGCUAUACCUGCUACUACAUCUGUACCUACUGUCAGACAGGCCUCGAUUAAAGAGCUACGAAAAUAUGGUGCCACGGAAUUUCAGGGAUUAAAAGGAGCUGAUCCAUCCAUUGCUGAAAAUUGGAUAGAAACAACAAAAAGAUUUUUGCAACAAUUAGACUGCACUCCCCGAGAGAGUCUGAUAGGUGCUGUAUCACUGUUACAAGGAGAAGCGUAUCUCUGGUGGGAAUCUGUGGUUAGACAUUUGCCGGAUGAUCAGGUAACUUGGGACUUGUUUCAAAAAGAAUUUCAGAAGAAGUAUAUUGGGGAAUUGUACAUCGAAGAGAAAAAGCAAGAGUUUUUAGUGUUGAAACAAGGGAAUAUGUCAGUACUGGAUAAUGAGCGAGAGUUUUCUAGAUUGAGCAGGUAUGCUUUAGAAUAUGUUUUAACCGAGGCUGAUAGUUGUAAACGAUUUCUACGGGGACUGCGAGACGAAAUCAAGAUUCAAUUGGUAAGUCUCAGAAUUACUGAACUUGUUGAUCUGGUUGAGCGAGCAAAAAUGAUAGAACAAGUACUGGGUCUGGAUAAAAAAUCAGAAAUUGGUAAAUCAGCUGGGAAACGUAUAGGAACUACUAGUUCUAAUCCAUUACCGAAGAGAUUCAGAGAAUCAAAAAGUGACCGGAGAUCCAAUUUUAGUUCAGAUAGAGGUGGUAGAAGCAGAGGUAAACAGAUGACAGUAUCUACUAGUAGUGUAAGAGGUCCAUCCCGAAGUAUAGAAAUUCCAGACUGUGAGCAUUGCGAAAAGAAACAUUUAGGUGAAUGUUGGAGGAUAACUCGACGAUGUUUUCGAUGUGGGGCCAUAGAUCAUUUCAUUCGAGAUUGUCUGAAAGGUGAAAGUGCCACACCUGCAACAUCUCAAAGAUCAGUACCUACUGUUCGUGGCAGAGGAUCUAGUAGGGGUGGUUCGAGUUCUGUGUCUAGAGGUGGAGGUGUCAGAAGAAACAGCGAUAUAGUUACACAACAGUCAGAGGCCAGAGCGCCGGCUAGAGCGUACGUAGUCCGGACCUGUGAAGAAGGCGAUGCACAUGAUGUUGUUACAGGUAUAUUUCUAUUGUAUUCUGAGCCUAUUUAUGCUUUAAUUGAUCCGGGUUCGUCACACUCAUAUAUAAAUUCAAAACUAGUCGAAUCGGGGAAAUUAGAAUCUGAAAUGUCUAAAGUUUCUAUAGAAGUGUCUAGCCCUUUGGGACAAACGGUGUUAGUAGAUAGAGUAUGUCGGAGGUGCCCGUUAAUAAUACAUGAUAAAAUGUUUCUUAUGGACUUGUUGAUCAUGCCUUUUGGUGAUUUUGAUAUCAUUUUGGGUAUGGACUGGCUAUAUGAACAUGGGGUCGUUUUGGAUUGCUAUAAAAGGAGGUUUAGUAUUCAGACAGAAAAUGGGAAUAGAAUUGAAGUGAUGAAGGCUAAUAAAUUACUGUAGCAGGAUUGUCCAGCAUACUUGGCAUAUGUUAUUAAUUCUGAUUUAGUUGGGAGUCAAUGCAGUCAGAUUAGGACUGUAUGUGAGUUUCGAGAUGUAUUCCCAGAAGAAUUACCGGGCUUACCACCUGACAGAGAGGUUGAAUUUGCUAUUGAGGUGUAUCCAGGUACAACACCAAUUUCUAUACCUCCGUAUCGAAUGUCGCCCACUGAAUUGAAAGAGUUGAAGGUGCAGUUACAAGAUUUACUAGAUUGUGGAUUUAUUAGACCAAGCAUUUCACCCUGGGGAGCUCCAGUGUUGUUUGUUAAAAAGAAAGAUGGUUCUAUGCGGUUAUGCAUUGAUUAUCGACAGUUGAAUAAAGUGACGAUCAAGAACCGGUAUCCGUUGUCUCGUAUAGAUGAUUUGUUUGAUCAGCUUAAGGGUGCUUCAGUAUUUUCAAAAAUUGAUUUGAGAUCCAGGUAUUAUCAGCUGAAGGUGAAGGAAAGUGAUGUGUCUAAAACUGCCUUCCGUACUCGUUAUGGCCAUUAUGAAUUUUUGGUAAUGCCAUUUGGAUUGACCAAUGCCCCAACUGCUUUCAUGGAUCUAAUGAACCGCAUUUUUCAGUCGUACUUAGAUCAAUUUGUGGUGGUUUUCAUUGAUGAUAUAUUGGUAUAUUCGAAGACAGAGGCAGAACGUGAUCAGCAUCUUCGAAUAGUUCUACAAAUUUUACGAGAGAAACAGCUAUAUGGAAAGCUCAGUAAAUGCGAGUUCUGGUUAUCAGAAGUGGUAUUUCUGGGACAUGUAGUAUCUGCAGAUGGAAUUCGAGUUGAUCCGAAAAAGAUCGAAGAAAUUGUUCAGUGGAAGGCGCCAAAGAAUGUAUCGGAGGUACGCAGUUUUCUCGGUUUAGCUGGGUAUUACAGGAGGUUUGUAAAUGGAUUCUCGAAGAUAACACUACCAAUGACUAAACUACUGCAGAAGAAUGUUCCUUUUAUUUGGGAUGAUCAGUGUCAGAAAAGUUUUGAAACAUUGAAGUGAAUGAUAACCGAGGCACCAGUUUUGACAUUGCCAGAAUCGAGUAAAGAUUUUGUAGUGUAUAGUGAUGCUUCUUUGAGUGGUUUGAGUUGUGUAUUGAUGCAGGAUGGGAAGGUAAUAGCCUAUGCAUCUCGUCAAUUGAAACCACGUGAAAGGAAUCAUCCUACUCAUGAUCUUGAGUUAGCAGCCGUGAUUUUUGCAUUGAAGAUUUGGAGACAUUAUCUUUAUGGUGAAAGAUGCUACAUCUAUACUGAUCAUAAGAGUUUGAAGUAUCUUGUUUCUCAGAAGGAAUUGAAUUUGAGACGUUGGAUCGAGCUUCUGAAAGACUAUGAUUGUGUUAUAGACUAUCAUCCGGGAAAAGCUAAUGUUGUAGCUGAUGCAUUAAGCAGAAAAGCUGUAAUUGAAUUAAGAGCAAUGUUUGCACGGCUUAGUAUCACUGAUGAUGGGAGUCUUUUGGCCGAAUUGAGAGUAAAAUCGGUAAUGUUUGAUCAGAUUAGAUUAGCUCAGUUGGAAGAUCAUAAAUUAUUGAAGAAAAGAGAGAUGGUACAGCAGAAAAUUUUAGUAUUGAUGAUUGUGGAUGCUUGAGGUUUUGAAAUCGGAUUUGUAUUCCAAAUGCUUCUGAGCUUAAAGAGUUGAUUCUACGGGAAGCUCAUGAUAGUUCAUUUGCUAUGCACCCCGGAGGCAUGAAAAUGUAUCGAGAUUUAAGAGAAUUAUACUGGUGGCCAGGGAUGAAAAGAGACAUAGUAGAAUUUGUAAGUAAAUGUUUGACUCGCCAACGAGUAAAGGCAGAACAUCAGCUUCCUACUGGAUUGCUUCAGCCUAUUAAUAUUCCUGAAUGGAAAUGGGAUCGCAUCACGAUGGAUUUUAUUACGGGAUUACCGUUGUCAGCAAGCAAAAAGAAUGCUAUUUGGGUGAUAGUUGAUAGACUUACCAAGUCAGCACUUUUGAUAGCAGUCGGGACUGAUUGGUCAUUGCAGAAGCUUGCAGACGUGUAUAUUCGAGAAAUUGUUAGAUUACAUGGCAUUUCGAUAUCAAUAAUUUCAGAUCGAGAUCCUCAGUUCACAUCGAGAUUUUGGAGACAGUUACAUGAAUUGUUGGGUACUAGACUUAGUUUCAGUACAGCCUUUCAUCCGUAAACCGACGGACAGUCCGAACAAGUAAUUCAGAUAUUAGAAGAUAUGCUUCGGGCUUGUAUUAUUGAUUUUGAAUCAGGUUGGGAACGUUAUUUACCAUUAGCUGAAUUUGUCUACAAUAAUAGUUUUCAAUCUAGUAUACAAAUGGCCCCGUAUGAAGCACUGUAUGGUCGAAGGUGUAGAUCACCGGUAUGUUGGACAGAAUUGAAUGAAAGAAAAGUAAUUGGGCUGGAAUUAAUUCAAGAAACAGAAGAAACAGUUAAAAAGAUCAAAGAUAGAUUAAAGGUAGCUUUUGACAGACAAAAGUCUUAUGCCGACUUGAAACGUCGAGACAUUGAGUAUUCAGUUGGAGACAAAGUAUUUCUGAAGGUUUCUCCUUGGAAAAAAGUUUUGAGAUUUGGUCGGAAAGGUAAAUUGACCCCACGUUUUAUUGGGCCGUAUGAAAUAGUGGAAAGAAUUGGACCAGUUGCAUAUAGAUUGGCUUUACCUUCUGAAUUACAAAGGAUUCAUGAUGUUUUUCAUAUUUCGAUGCUACGGAAAUAUAGAUCAGAUCCUUCUCAUAUAAUUUCUACAGAAUAUAUUGAAGUUCGACCUGAUUUAUCAAAUGAAGAAGAGCCGGUUCAAAUUUUAGCACGGGAAGUGAAAGAAUUAAGAAAUAAAAAGGUUCCUUUAGUGAAAGUCCUAUGGAGAAAUCAUAAUGUUGAAGAAGCGACUUGGGAACCAGAGGAAACUAUGAGAGUACAAUAUCCUCAUCUCUUCUCAGGUAAAUUUCGAGGACGAAAUUUAUUAAGGGGGGGAGAAAUGUAAUAACUCGAAAUUCACGGGCACCGGAAAAGUGAGUUAUAAGGCCUCCGUCUUAGUGAAAUAAGUUCGAAAAUAAUUAUUAAAAAUAUUUAUGAGCCUAGUGGUGUGUCUAAUUAGGAUCUAAUUAGGUGAAUUUAGCUUAAUUUAGAGUAAGUAAUAAAAAGGAUUAAAUUGAAUAAAGGGUAAAAGUUUAAUUAUAAAGCAAUAGAAAAUAAAAAGGAUUAAAAUGGAAAUUAAGCCAUUGACUACAAAUGAGGCGGCAUAUUGGUGAAAUAAAAUCAAAGAUUUUUUUUAGGUUUUAUAUAUUAUAAUGAUUAUUAUUAUGGUUUUAUAUUAAAUUAUUAUAAUUAUUAAUUAACGUUAUGGUUUUAUAUUAGAUUAUUAUUAUUAGCAUUAUUAUUAAAUAAAUUAAAUAGAAGACAAUUGUAUGGUAAUAAAAUAUACAUGUGUAAGGAUUGUAUUGGUACAAUUGUAAUUUAAAUAUUUAAUUACUUAUAAUUUAAGUAUAAAGAUAUUUUAUAAUUAUUAAUUGUAUUAAUUAAAUCUUGAGAUUUUUAUUUGAUAAGCAAAUUAGAUAAUGACAUUUGUAAUAAUAUAAAUAUGUACACUUAUUAUAUAAUUAUUAAUUUACUUAAUAUUAAAGUAAAAGAUAUUUUAAUAUAUGAUAUUAAUAUUAUAUUAUGUUAAUAAAAUAAUAAAGCAUAAAAAGAAUUAAGAAAACAAAGAAACAAAACAAAAGAAACAGAAACGAAGCAGGGAACAAAAUGAAAACAGGGAAAGAAAAAGGGAAAGAAAAUAAAAAGGGAAAUUGGGAUUUUAAAGCUUCAAUUUAAUUGGUAAGCUUAAUUAAGUCCUUUUCUCUUAAUUUUGAUAUUUUAGAAGCUUUAAAACAAGUUUUGAUGAAAUUAAGUUGAUAAUCCAAGAGUUUAUAUGUUUCCAAAUAUGGUUCAUGUUGGAUAAAUUAUGGGAUUUAAUUGAAUGAAUUCUAAGUUAGAAUUGAUUAAGGGAUUAAAUUGUAAACUAGGCUAUAAGUUUUAUGUUGAAGGGACUAAAUUGAAGAAAUUUCGAAAUUAGGGAAAUAUGCUGGAAAUUUUAUAGUUAAAUAUAAGUUUAGACAAAAUUUGAAUAGAAAAAGAGAGUGAAUUGGAUUAAGAAAAUAAUUAAGUUUAGUUAGGAUUAAAUUGGGAAUAAGGUAGGAAUUGUUUAGAAAUUUAAUUAUUUAUUAUAAUUAAUGCUGUAAAUAAUAAUAUAAAUUACUAUUAUUUUCGUAGCCAACAAAGAACCUGAAACGUCAGCAUCGAAAGGAAAUGAGAAAGUCAUCGAGGACUAAAACGGGAGAAUUACGGUGUAUAUUACUAUAACUCAAAUUUUAAUUAUUAUUGAUUGCUGAAAUUUUAAUUGUUAUGUAUGGUAAGUAAGACUUGAGGUAAGUAUGUGAUUAUUUGAAAAGUGUAUUGAUUGAAAAAUAAAUAAAUGGUGACAAUUGUAUGGUGUUGAUGGUAUACACUUGUGUGAAAAUUAAUUUGUAUAUGAAUUAAGAUAAUAGAUAUUUGAAUUGAAUGAGUAUUGAAAAUUUGUGUAAAUUAAAUUGAAAUGAGAAAAAGUAAAAUAAUACCCUAUUAACUUGUCGGACUAGAUUUGAUACAAAUGGCAUGCCAUUGGAUUUGUGAUGUGAUGAGGAGAUUGUAGUUCGGCCGAGAAGAUGUUUCUGUUCUUAUAUACUUCGAUUUAUUCGAAGAGGCACUUAAUGCCUUACUGGUGUGUUAUGGAGGAUUUAAAAUAUUCUAGGUGUGUUUGGGUUGGACAUUCUGGUGUGUUUGGGUGGAAAUCCGCGUAUCUGUCAUAGUUCGAGCUUUGUUAAUAGGGUAAAUAAUUGAAAUGAAAUUUUGAAAAUGAGAUUAUUUGUUUUAGCACUAUUGAAAAGUACGGGAAAGAAUGUAUGAAUUAAAUUAUGAAUUGAGUUAGUACGAGAAAAAUGAAUUAUGAAUUUAAGAUUUAUGAAGUAAAAUAAUUAUAUAUAAAAGUAGUUUAAAUAAUUAUAAAAUUUAUGGUUGAUGUUUGUAAUUUAUUAAUGUUAAAUAGUCUUGAUUUAUAGUAAUACCACUGAGUAUAUCCAUACUCAGUGUACGGUUGUUUCCGUGCGCAGGUUAGUAGAAGUCAAGUGUCCCGGCUCAGCAUCCAGAACAAUCCCGACUCCAACACAAACUUGGUGAUGUAUAUUUUUAUUUUGGGUAAAGGUGGCAUGUACAUAGGUGUUGUUUAGUCACCUGAAUAUGUAUAUUAUUUUGAGUAGUGAAGGAUGAAUUAUAAGAUUUAGAUGGUUGAAUGAAAUGGUAAGGAAAGUACAUGAUAUUUUGAUACAUGAACAUUAAGUUGUUAAAUGAAUGAAGUUUAUAAUAAAUUUUGAAUGAUGCUAUGAUAGUUAUUAAGUUAAAAUUAUGUUAAUGAUAUAAAUAUUAGUUAUAUGAAUGUGAAACAUUGGUGUUGGUGAUUUUGGUUUGAAUUUGCAGGAGGUUUAGGUAAAAAUAAGCAGAAAUACUGCCGAAAUUUUUUUAUAAAAAAAAAUUUGGAAUACUCGAACAAGUCCCAUUCUACUUUUAAUACGUGUUUGAACUUCAAGAGUCCAAGAUAGGGACUUAAUUAUUAUAUUAUACUAUGAAAGUUAUAUUAAUUGUAAAUUACUCGUAAGUUGUCUGAUAUGUCUGGUAAUGCCUCAUAACCUCAUUCCGGCGACGGUUUGGGGUUAGGGGGUGUUACAAAACUAUUCUUAAGGUUAAUGAAGUUCCAACUAAAGCUCAAUCACACAAAGUGUACCUUCGGGGCCAGGUCAAGAAAGUUGUUGGGAUUCGUAGCUAGUGAAAAGGGGAUUGAGAUUGACCCAGAUAAAGUCAAGGCCAUACAAGAAUUAACCCCACUGCGCACUCAAAAAGAAGUUCAAGGUUUCUUAGGAGGAUUAAAUUAAAUUGCCCGGUUCAUUUCACAACUGACGGAGAAAUGCGACCCCGUAUUCCGUCUCCUUAAGAAACACAAUUCAGGUGUAUGGAAAGAGGAGUGCCAGAAAACUUUUGACAAUGUCAAGCAUUACUUGUCCAACGCCCCAGUACUAAUGCCACCUUGCCCAGAUAGGCCACUGAUACUAUACUUGGUGGUGUUCGAAAACUAUAUGGGAUGCGUACUAGGCCAACAUGACGAGUCAGGAAGGAAAGAAAAAGCGAUAUACUAUCUCAGUAAGAAAUUCACCGAAUGUGAGACAAGAUAUUCGUCGAUCGAGAAGUUGUGUUGUGCUUUGAUUUGGACAACCCGAAGACUAAGACAAUACAUGUUGUACCACACAACUUAGCUCAUAUCAAAACUAGACCCUUUGAAGUACAUGAUGGAGUCAAAUGUUUUGAACGGAAGAAUGGCUCGUUGGCAAAUUUUAUUUUCUGAGUUUGACAUAGUCUACGUGAACCAAAAGGUUGUAAAAGGGAUUGCAAUAGCAGAUUUUCUAGCCAGUAGAGCUCUAGAAGAUUAUGAGCCGUUGAGCUUUGAUUUCCUGAAUGAGGAUUUAAUGUAUGUUGCAACCAUGGAAGAAAUCUCUCAAAAAGGUCAUCCUUGGAAACUGAGUUUUAAUGGAGCUUCAAAUGCUGUGGGUAACAGAAUCGGGGCAAUUUUUGUAUCCUCAAACGGGGAUCAUUAUCCUUUCACCAGUAAAUUAGAUUUUGACUGCACAAACAACAUGGUGGAAUACGAGGCAUGCAUCAUGGGCAUCUGUGCGACCAUAGAAUGCAGGAUUAAAGUAUUAGAGGUAUACGGAGAUUCUGCAUUAGUAAUCUAUCAACUUAAAGGUGAAUGGGAGACAAGAGACCCUAAGUUGAUUAAUUACCGAAGGCUGGUCAUUGAAUAAUUAAGGAGUUUGAUGAUAUCACUUUCUGCUACCUCACACGAGAUGAAAAUCAGAUGGCUGAUGCCUUGGCAACCUUAGCUUCAUUGAUCAAAGUGAACAAGCAAGAGGAUGUGAAGCUUAUCCAAAUGAGUAUUUAUGAGGCUCCGGCUCAUUGUUACAACAUCGACGAAGAAGAAGAAAUAGAUGAUCAUCCUUGGUAUCAGGAUAUAUUGCGAUAUGUGAGGAAUCAUAAAUGCCCAAACCAAGCAACUGAGAAUGAUAAAAGGACAUUGAGAAGGUUGCCUAGUGACUAUGUCUUGGAUGGAGAUAUCCUAUAUAAAAGAAGGAAGGAUCAGGUACUUCUAAGAUGUGUAGACGCUAUCGAAGCUAAGCAAAUCUUGGAAGAGGUCCAUAAGGGUGUCUGCGGGACGCACGCUAAUGGUUUCACAAUGGCCAGAUAGAUCAUGAGAUUCGAAUAUUAUUGGUCCACUAUGGAAUGGGAUUGCAUCAAUUAUGCAAAAAAGUGUCAUAAAUGCCAAAUAUAUGGAGAUAAAAUUCAUGUACCUCAUUCACCUCUUCGUGUCAUGACUUCUCCAUGGCCUUUCUCCAUGUGGGGCAUGGAUGUUAUAGGGUUGAUUUCGCCGAAGGCAUCUAAUUGACAUCAAUUCAUCUUUGUGGUCAUAGAUUACUUCACCAAAUGGGUAGAGGCCACCUCUUUUGCCAACGUCACAAAGUCAGCAGUCAGCAAGUUCUUAAAGAAAGAAAUCAUAUGUCGAUAUGGGAUGCCUGAGAGGAUCAUAUCAGACAAUACACUGAACUUGAACAAUAGCAUGAUAACAGUGGCCUGUAGCCAAUUCAAGAUCAAACACCAUAACUCGUCAGCAUAUCGCCCAAAGAUGAAUGGUGCGGUGGAAGCAGCCAAUAAAAACAUUAAGAAGAUAAUAGGAAAAAUGACUCAGACCUAUAAAGAUUGGCACGAGAAAUUACCAUUUUCCCUCUAUGCCUACCGAACUUCUGUCAGAACCUCUACUGGGGCAACACAUUUCUUUUUGGUUUACGGGAUGGAGGCAGUUUUGCCUAUUGAGGUUGAGAUUCCCUCUCUACGAGUGCUAUUGAAACUAAAGUUAGAUGAAGCAGAAUGGAUUCAGUCUCGAUACGACCAGUUGAACUUAAUUAAAGAAAAGAGACUAAAAGCUAUUUGCCAUGGUCAAAUAUACCAAAAGAGAAUAAUGCGAGCUUAUAAUAAGAAGGUUCGCCCUAGAGAAUUCCAUGAAGGAGGCCUUGUUUUGAAAAAGAUCUUCCCUAUACAAAAGGACUUUAAAGGAAAAUGGAUGCGAAAUUGGGAGGGACCAUAUGUGGUGAAGAAGGCUUUCUCUAGAGGAGCUUUGAUUUUGACCAAGAUGGAUGGCAAAAGCCUGUCUAAUCCCGUGAAUUCAGAUUCGGUCAAGAUGUAAUACCCGAAAAUUUUUAUAGUAAAAUAUUAUCCGUGAUAUAGUAAAAUAAGGAAAUAAAGUGACAAAAAUGGAAAUUUUGAGUUAUGUCAAUAUUGGGAAGUAUAUUAUGACAUAUUGAUUCAAAGAAAGGAUUAAAUUGUAAAAGUGAGAAAAGUUUUGUGGCCCAAUAGUAAAUACUCAAAAUUUGAAGGAUUAAAGUGUAAAUAUGAAAAGUUGAAGGACUAAUAGUGAAAAUAUUUUAAGGGUGGAAUGAUCUAGAAACCAAGGAAAAUUGAUGAAUUAGGACCAAAUUGAAUAGGUGAAGAAUUAUGAGGGACUAAAUUAUAAUUUUACCAAAUUAAGUGAUGACUCAAGAUUGGAAUUUUAAAAGAUCACAAAGGGCAAAAUGGUCAAUUGGAAGAGAGAGAAAUCUAGAGACAAUGAUGAUGUUGGAGAUAUUUUAGAUAAAUUAAAUAAAUAAAUAUUAAUUUAUUAAUACUUUAAAUUGAUUUUUAAAUGAUAUUUUAUUCUUUUAUUAUUAUUUUAUUUAAUAUAUAUAUGUAAGGAAAGAAAGGGGAGGAUGAUCACCAUUCUCAUGCAACUAACGUGAGAAGAAUAAGAAGAAAGAAAGUUUUCCUUUUCUUACAAUUUAGUCAUUCCUCCAAAAAUUCAUUAUUUUCACCUAAAAAUUGAAAGAAUUUCCAUAGCCAUCAAGAGAGAAAGACAGCAAGGAGAUGAUGGGGAGCAAGAAUAUCAAGUUGGAUUCAAGAAAUAGAAGCUGGAGGAGAGAGAAAAUCAAGUUAAAGAUUGAAGUCAAUAAGGAAAGGUAAGUACAUCAAGACUUCAAUAUGUUUUUAAGUUUGUUAUUAUUAACAAAGCAUGGAAAUAAUGUUAUAGUAGAGUUUUCUUACAUAAGGUCCUAUGUUCUUGAUAUGUUAGUGAAGAGAAAAUAAGAGAAAGUGAUGAGAAAUGGUGUAGAAAAAGAAAAUAAGGGUGUUAUAACAUGGUAAUUAAUAUCUUGCACUAAAACAGUUUUAGACAGUAGCAGUAGUCUAACUUUGAAAAAUCACCAAAAAUUGUAGAAAUCAAAUUAUAGGAUGAAUAAAAUAUUAUAUUAAAUAUUAUUUAGUCUAGUUUCUUAUAGAAGAAACGGUGUAAGUAAUGGAUUUUUAAAUCAUGAAAUAUAAUGAAUUUUGUGAGACAAGGUCAGAAUGAAUUCGGGUUCCCCUAUUCUGACUUUGGAAAAUCAUCAAACAUUGGAUAGAAAUAAUUAUGGGCUUAAAUUUAUAUGUUUAUAAUCUUGAAUGAGUCUAUUUUCAAUAUAAAUAAACGGGAAUACCAUUCAAAUUAUAUACGAUGAGAUAAUUAAUUUUUAGUAAAGAAUGGUCAGAACUAUCAGACAACAGAACAGGGGUAACUUUAAAGAAUAAACUGCACUUAUUGGAUAAACAAAAAAUUCUGAAAAUUUUAUGGCAUGAAGAUAUAUGAGUCUAGUUUCAGGUAAAAAAAUUUUAUCUUAAUUUGGAGCUCUAUAGCUCCAGAUAUAAAUAGUUUAGUGACUAUGACACAGAUGGACAGCUUGAAUAUUCAUAAAAGUAAAUAAAAAAAAUAUAUAGAUAAUGUUACUUACAAGUGUGUUAUAUACAUUAAGGAUGUGAAAUGGAGAUGAGGAGGAGGAAAACAUAUAUGAAUAUUCAUUUAGCAUAGCUAAUUUGCAUAUUUUAGGCUCAGGGACUAAAUUGAAUAAAAGUAAAACUUUAUAGGCAAUUUUGUAAAAUGUCAAAAGUGACCAAAUUGCAUGAAAUGGAUUAUUUUAUUAUUCAAAUUACAAAAUUGAAUAAAAUUAUUAAUUUAGUUCAAGAUAGGGGGAAAACAUGUUUUAGGGAUUAAAUUGAAAAGUGUUGAAAUUAUGGAAAAUUCUGAUAUUUUAUAGAAUUCAUGGACUGUUAUCAAUAUGUAUGAGAAUAAUACCUGAAAAUAAGGAUUAAAUUGCAAGAAUUUUAUUUUCCUGACCCUAAGGAUGAAAUCGUCAUUAAUUAAAAGUUUAGGGGCAAAAUGGUAAUUUUGCCUAGAGCAUUAAUUAAAUGCAUUAGAAUAUGAAAUGAAUGAAAAUGAUGAUCAAAUUUAUUUAUAAAGAUCCGGACGACUCAAAUAUGAGACUUGAUCGUGGAAAAGAAAAGAUAUCGGAUUAAUGAAAUUAUAAACACAAACAAGCAAUGAGGUAAGUUGGUGUAACUUGAAUUGUAUUUUAAAUACUUGAAAUAUAUGGUUAUGUGAUGAAAAUAUGUUUUGAAUGUUCAAUUCAUGAUAUUUGAUGAAAUAUUGAUAAUACUUGAUAUAAAUUGAAAAUAAAUCCCGGUUGAAUGAAAGGAAAAUUCGAUGGAUCUCUGAAAAGGAAUUGACGGUAAAAAGGAUCUAGCCCGGACGGGUGAUCCUAUUUUGAUAUAGCCCUCCCGAAGAAUACGUGUAAAAUGGAUUUAGCCCGGGCGGGUAAUCCAAAUUAGGGUCUGAAUUUAGCCUGGACUGGUAAUUCAGAUCCAAGCUCAUUAGAGUAAUUGUCGUUGCAGGGGAUUUAGCCUGGACUUGGUAAUCCCGACAAUACUCUAUGAGUUUAUAUUACAGGGGAUUUAGCCUGGACUGGUAAUCCCAUUGUAAGGAUGAGGUUCGCGGGAGUGUGCUCUCUGAUAUGAAAUGUGUAAGACCAUGGUUGAAAGAUACCAUGGCAACCUGAUAUGAAAUGUGUAAGAUCAUGGUUGGAAAGAUACCAUGGCAACCUGAUAUGAAAUGUGUAAGACCAUGGUUGAAAGAUACCAUGGCAACCUGAUAUGAAAUGUGUAAGACCAUGGUUGAAAGAUACCAUGGCAACAUGACAGAAAAUGAGUAAGACCAUAGUUGAAAGACACUAUGGCAUCAUGUCAAAGAUAAAUAAGACCGUGGAUGGGAGACGCUAUGACAUCUGUUGAACAAUUGAUAUUCAGGUAAUAUGUAUCAAAUGACGAAUGGUUAUAUGAAAUAAUUAUGAAGAUAGAUAAACGAAAUAAGUAUAAGUACAUAGAAUAUAAUUUAUGUUAAGUUAGAUAUAAGCUAUUACCGGAAUAAAUAUAUAUAAAAUAUAUGGAAAUGAUGGAGCAUGAAAUAUUGAUAUAAUGAAAUGAAUGAUAUAUGCUUAUGAAGAAACGGUAAGAGAAUGAUAUGUUUCAUGACAUGUACAUAUAUGAUUAUCUUUGAUAUGUUGAUACAAGGAAAUUAUGUAAGUAAAGACAAUUAUUAAACUCAAGUGUGACAUGUCGAGAAAAUAAGUAUAUCAAUGUUGAAUUUAUAUGAAAUAUGUGCAAGUAUACUAACAAUGAUGUGGCUUGACGCUUAGACAAAGGUCAAGCUAUUGAUUAAAUGGUAACAUGUUUAAUUAUAAGAAGCAUUGAAAUGGAAAGUACUUAGAUGAAAAUAAAAUUUAAGAUUUUGCGAAAUUUUUUUAUGAUCCUGAUUUAAUUCCGGUUGGUUUUUAAUGUAUGUUUGGGGCUUCGAGGGCCCAAUAAAGAGACGUUAUGACUAUUUUCAAAAUAUGAAUAAUAAAUGACUCAGAAUUAUCUGAAAAUGUUCAAUAAACUCCGGUAAUGCCUCGUACCUAUUCCGGCAACGGAUACGGGUAGGGGUGUUACACAAGAGGUACUUUACCUAAAAAAAAGAGAGAGGCCAAGGCGAAAACCCGCAAAAGGGCGCUUUGAGACCAAAUGAGUUUUGAGUUGAAAACCCAGGAAUGGGCAAUUCAAAUUUUGAUCGAAAAUGGGGUAUGUGGUGGUCUUGUCUUCUCUGAAUUAACAAGAAGGAGGGAUGCUACAUCUUGGAGCAUCAACAAAGUGCUCUUGGUCUUCCAAACACAUACCAAGUUCAAAAGGUCCUCAAGAAGUUUUAUGAAGAGAAGCUCAUACUGCGAUAUCUGGGGCACCUAUUCUCAUUUUAUUCAUUUUGUAUCUUUGCAAAAUUUGCUAUCUUGAUUACCUUAUUCAUUUUGAGCUUUGCUCUCAAUAAAUUCCAUCUUGUCUAUUGUGAUAAUCUUUUGCAAGCAUUCUUCAUUGAAAUGAUGAUUAAUGGACUAAUGACAUUCAAAAAAGAGUUCUGCAUAUUACUCUGAAAUGCUUCUAAAUGAUACAAAGACCUGAAACGGGACGUAUUAGUUUAAAUUACCCAAAUUCAAGGGUCAAAAACAUUGGGGAAAGAAUAGCCCAAAUUUUGAUUAUUUCUUCUGGUUUUCUGCCCAAAGAUACCAAUUGAAGAAAAAGAUAGAGUAAUACGUCAAUGAUAAAACCUCGGUGAACAAUGAGUAAUAUCAAGUUAAGCAUUAAAAAAUGACAUUUUUUUUGCAUUCAUGCAAACAUCAUUCAUACACAUCUAGCUAGGAGCAUCUGAUUCAUUCUGAUCAUGACAUCUUAAUCAUUUGGCAUAAAUAGGCCUAUGAAAUAGAUUCAACAGGUCAUGUUCUCCAAAGAAUGGUGUAAAAGACCAAAGAAAUCAAAAUCCUACACCCUUGAAGAUACAGUGGGACGGAUUGAAAUCACCAUGGCGAAUCUUGUCUCCUUGAAGUUGCAGUGGAGCAGAUUCAAGUCGCGAAUCUUAUCUCCUUAAAGUUACAGAAGAGUAGAUUGAAGUUACAGAUCUUAUCUCCCUAAAGUUGCAGUGAAAUAGAUCAAAGAUAGCAAACCUUAUCCCCCUAAAGUUGCAGUGGGGCAGGUUAAAGUUACAAGUCUUAUUUACCUGAAAUUGCAGUGGGGCAGAUUGAAGAUAGCAAAUCUUAUUUCCCUGAAGUUGUAGUGGAACAAAUUAAAGCUACGAGUUACAAGUUCUGUACCUCUGAAGUUGCAGUGGGUCGGAUCAAGUCUAUCAUGGCAAAUCUUAUCUCCCUGAAGUUACUGUGGAGCAGAUUAAAGCCAUGAACCUUAUCUCCUUGAAGUUGCAAUGAAGCAGGUUGAAGUUACAAGUCUUAUCUUCCUGAAGUUACAAUGGAAUAAACUAAAGCUAUAGAUUACAAAUCUUAUCUCCCUGAAGUUGCAGUGGAGUAGAUCAAAGCAAUAGUUCCUAUACCCCUGAAGAUGCAGAGGGUUGGAAUAAAGCUAUUCGAAGAACAGAAGAAGUCAAGAUUUAGCAAGACUAGGCAAAAUUGGCCAUUUUGAAGUCUUUGCUCCAUUCUCGUUACACGACAAUGAGCAAAGAGGGGCAGUUGUAAUGGCCAAUUUUUGGCCCAGGUCAAUAAACCCAAAUAAUAAAACAAUCCAAUUAAUAGUCCAUGACCCAAAACCCAAACCAGCCCAAAAUUUAAAACCCAAUUAAAGCCCCCAUCAGUCCACUACCUAAACUAACCCUAGCCCAUUACAAAGAGAACAACAGUAAGCCUAGCUAAAAGCUUCAGCUGUCGCAUGCCCACUUCAGCCUUGGCCGCCGCACGCCUCUGACCGCUCGUGUCACCUGCAAAAAUGAGACCAACACGCAAGCAAAAGGAAACAACGAACAAAAGGAUAAAAAACGAUAGCAAAC
RNAcentral lists this long non-coding RNA (31150 nucleotides) under Gossypium barbadense (sea-island cotton). RNAcentral describes it as "long non-coding RNA (GBAR_LNC011881)". The record is from RNAcentral. Lineage: Eukaryota; Viridiplantae; Streptophyta; Magnoliopsida; Malvales; Malvaceae.